Planococcus citri (citrus mealybug) is the source of this 733-nucleotide long non-coding RNA. RefSeq lists it as uncharacterized. Lineage: Eukaryota; Metazoa; Arthropoda; Insecta; Hemiptera; Pseudococcidae. The transcript is spliced from 5 exons. The record is from RefSeq and is a predicted model, not a curated record.
GGUACCUUUACCUAAACCAUCAACAGUUAUUGAUUGUGUCUGGAACGUCAUAAAUAUCUGUAGGCUCAGACUGUUUGAGUUUCAUUCGAAUUGUAUUCCAGUCUCAACUUGGCCUUCGUUUUCGGUGUCGUAGUAAAGGAAGGGAGGAAAAACGUACGUUCUCGGAAUCGCUGCGAUUUUCAGUUCGCUUUACAGCAGCGCCCAGUGUAGCUGAGAAAUGGCUGGAAAAAUAGGCACUAUAAUCGCUAUAGUUCUCAGCAUGGUACUGGAUAUAAGCUUUAUAUUUCUCCUAAUCUCAGAGUAUGUAAACGAAGAUAAUAUGGAGAAUACAUACAGAAAAACAUCACAGAGUAUAAUUCUUAUUUGUAUAAUCGCCCCAAUUGAAGCAAUUUAUGGAGUUUUAAGGGAGAAACCAACAUGGAUCAAAUUACAUUUGAUUUUUCGAUGCUGUUUUUUGGGAAUAUGCAUAUUCAUUUUGGUAACAUUAGCAGUUACUGGUUCUACGGAAUCAAUAAUCAAAUUCGGAAUUGCAGCUGGUAACAUGUACAUAUUUUUUGACAUUGAGCUGAGAUUUUACAAGAAAAUAAAAUUUGAAAAGAAACCGAAGGAAGAAGCCGAGGAAGUAGUGUUAGCUGACCAAAGUGGACCAAAAUUUCAAAAUUCCGUAAACAGUACAUAUGUAUAUACAACUCAAAAAAAAAAAAAAGCUUGAGGGUGUAGAGAAAAAACCUAA